CAGUCGCCGCGGUAAUACGUAGGUGGCAAGCGUUGUCCGGAAUUAUUGGGCGUAAAGGGCUCGCAGGCGGUUUCUUAAGUCUGAUGUGAAAGCCCCCGGCUCAACCGGGGAGGGCCAUUGGAAACUGGGAAACUUGAGUGCAGAAGAGGAGAGUGGAAUUCCACGUGUAGCGGUGAAAUGCGUAGAGAUGUGGAGGAACACCAGUGGCGAAGGCGACUCUCUGGUCUGUAACUGACGCUGAGGAGCGAAAGCGUGGGGAGCGAACAGGAUUAGAUACCCGGGUAGUCCCUGUCUCUUAUAA
RNAcentral lists this ribosomal RNA (301 nucleotides) under uncultured bacterium. RNAcentral describes it as "partial 16S ribosomal RNA". It matches the Rfam family "Bacterial small subunit ribosomal RNA", at positions 509 to 809 of the family's 1533-position model. The record is from RNAcentral.